This 4904-nucleotide long non-coding RNA is filed under the name Zostera marina. Its description in RNAcentral is "long non-coding RNA (ZMAR_LNC003924)". The record is from RNAcentral. Lineage: Eukaryota; Viridiplantae; Streptophyta; Magnoliopsida; Alismatales; Zosteraceae.
UGUCGUGGUGUGGGAGGUGUGAGGCUCGACAGGCAGUGGAAGAGGUAUGUAGAGUUUUAGAUUUGGGAAUGAGAUAAGGGAUAUCUUGAUGGGAAGAAAGGGUAGAUGUGAAUGAAAGGAGCAUCGGAGUAGAUCCUAUCUUGAUGAAUGUGUUCAUGGAUGAUAAGGGAGUUAGAUGGUAGGAUACCCAAAAACCUUGGGUCAUCCGAUCCAUGGAUUUAAUAUAGUAUUGUCAUUUGUAGUAGGUCAUUGUUUAAUUCAUUUGUGAUGGGUCGUUGCUUACUUUAUUCUAUUGUGAUGGGUUUCAUAUUUUAUUAUAGGUUAUUGUUAUUAUUUUAGCAUGUCAUUGUUUCAUUCUACUGCCAUUUAUUGAUUUAUCUUAUCGUGAUGAAUAUAAUCAAGGGUGAUAAUGUAUUUAAAUGGUAGGAUCAUGAAGUUGCCUAUUGUUGGCUCACUAUGGGGAAAAUUUGGAUUUAAUUGGGUUUAAAUUGAUAAUGCUAUCGUCAUCAUGUUUCUGGUCAUAUUUGGCCUAUAGGUGUUGCUGCUUAUGUUAUGGUUGAGUCUCAUGAUUUUUUAUAUUUUUGUUACUGUCAAGUUCUAUUGAAAAUUGGGUUAAAGUGGGUUUAAAUUGAUAAUGCUAUCGUCACCAUGUUGCUGCCCAUAUUUGGCCUAUAGGUGUUGCUGCUUAUGUUAUGGUUGGGUCUCAUGAUUUUCUAUAUUUUUGUACUGUCGGGUUCUAUUGAAAAUUGGGUUAAAGCGGGUUUAAAGUGAUAAUGCCAUCUUCACUUGUUGCUGUCUAUAUUUUGCCUAUAUGUGUUGCGGUUUAUAUUAUGGGUGAGUCUCAUGAUUUGCUCUAUUUUUGUUACUGUGGAGUUCUAUUGAUGACUAGGUUAAUGGGGUUUAAGGUGACAUAGGAUUGCAUGCUAGAUUGGCAUGUAAACUGUUUCGGUUAAAUAUUCCACUGCUGUCCUGUUUUGUGAUCGUCGAUGACAUGGCAGAUUAUUGAUUUACCCCUAUCUUUAGGUGUUCUACAUACUAUUGGGGCAUGUUGGAUUUGCAUAUAAGUCAUUUAUCAUUGCGGCUGAUUCGAUUAAUUUAUUUCUGAUUAAAUAAGGAACAUGUUAUAGAAGUGAAUGUUUGGUUAGAAGUUAAGAUGCUCACCAUGUGGUCUGUUUUGUUAGUAUUUAUGUUGUUGUUUUGUUUUCUUUAUUACGAAAUGCUAUGGGGGUGCAUGUUUUGGGCAGCAUAUAGGAUGUUUUAGGUGAUGUUUCUAUUAUUAGUUGCUGAUUUAAAUGAUAAUAAGAUUGGGGGAAAUUCACAUGAAUGACAUGAGGAUAAGAAUAGUAAUGCAUGUAUGAAUGGGUCAAUGAACGAACGAAUGAAAGCAUGAAUGAGAUAUGACUGGGGUGUUAUGACGCCUAACCAAUGGUGAAUGACGAAUGACUAAUGAUGACCCAUUAGGGGUCAUGAAUGACAAAUGAUUGGUACUAUUAGACUAAAUGUUUACAUAUGCAUGCAUGUAUUAUGUUAAUUGACAUUGUUAAAAAUUGUUGGGGUCUAUGCUUUACAUGCUGAGUGAUGUAGUCACUCACGGAUACAUGACAUGUUACAGGGAAUGGAGGCAACCGUGCUUAACUGGAGUGGUAGGAGACCAAGGACUUGUCGCGGUGACGAGGCACGUCGACGUAGGGUGAUAGCGAUGUAGUUGUUGUUUUUGUCUUUGGUUGUAAUAAGUACUGUGUUAGGUUUCCCCAAUACUAAGUGUUUUUAGUACUCCAUGAUGUGAAACUUUUGAGGCGUUAUAUGGCCGACCUUGCCGAUCCCCGUUAUGUUGGUCCGAGGUGGGGGAUCGCCAAAUGUUGGGGCUGGAGAUGCUCCAAAAGUCAUCGGAGAAUAUUGGCGAGAUACGGAAGAGGCUUUUUGCAGCACAGAGUCGACAAAAGAGUUACGCCGACAAGAGAAGAAAGGAAUUAAAAUUUUGGGAGACCAUGUAUUUCUAAAAGUUAUCGCAACCAAAGGAGCAUCUCGAUUCGGGCUACGGGGGAAACUAAAACCUAGAUACAUCGGUCCAUUCGAGAUAUUGGACUGUAUUGGAAAUGCAGCUUACAAAGUGGCGUUACCACCACAACUGAGUCGAAUGCACAAUGUUUUUCACGUAUCAAUGUUGCGACGGUAUAUUGCAGAACCAAGCCAUGUAAUACGACAUGAAGUUUUUGAAGGUAUCGAAAACUUAUGCAUAGAACCACGACCAACACGGAUCAUAGGUAGGAAGGAACAUUGUAUCAGAAACAAAAUUUGUAGAAGUGUCAAGGCGCAGUGGGGAGAUUACCCGAGUGAGGAGACAACAUGGGAGUCAGAAGACAAGAUGAUGGCCACAUUUCCGAAACUUUUUGUAAGUAAAUGUUUAAUAAUGAGUAUGAUGAUGAUCGGAAGUAGAAGUUUAAUUUUGGGGACCAAAAUGCUAAUUAAGGGGGAAGAUUGUAAUAACCGGUUAUUUAUGUAACCGGUUAUUAAUUGGAUAUAACCCGAUUAAGGGUAAAACUGUAAAUGACUAGGAUUAUAAAAAUAUAAAUUAAAAUGAUAGAAAGGAAGAGGUGAAACAGAAAUGAUUGAAACAGAAAUUAAAAGGGGAAAACAAAAGGAGAAGGAGGGCGGCUAGGAGAAAGGUAGGAUGGGGCAUCGUGGCUGGGAUCUGUAAGGGGGCACCGGUGUCGUGGUGUGGGAGGUGUGAGGCUCGACAGGCAGCGGAAGAGGUAUGUAGAGUUUUAGAGUUGGGAGUUGCUGUGAAAUAUUGUGACGAGUUGUCACUUAAGCUGAAGGAGCGGCUCGAUGCUCAAGAUUAGGUCUUCUGAGUGUCUUUUGUUUGUGUUUUGGAUGUUGUCUUUUGAUGUUAUAUUUUGUGAAGACUUGGUAUGAAGGGAUGUAUUUUGUUGUAAACAUGUUGAUAUUUGUUUAGAGUUAAUUCAUGGUGUUUUUAUUUUCUGAAACUUUAUUUCUAUGCGGGUUGUACCAAGAUCUUUCCUAGUAUGCUGUUUUGAUCUUAGGAUUAUUCGUUAAAGUAGUGUGUUUGUUGGAAUUUUUUGGUUGGAAAAUAUAAUUUUAUGAAAAAAAGGUUCUGAGACCUCGAGAAUUUUGCUAAGAAAGAAAUGGUUUUCUCGAUUUUUACUGGAUUUUUUUUUUUGCACUUGUUGCCAAAAUUUGUUUUGGUCUUUUUGCACUUGUUGCCAAAACUUGUUUUGGUCUUUUCAUUUGCCAAAAAGAAUGUUUUAUUUUUGGUCUUUGUCGCCAAAAGAUUUUUUGCAUUUGUUGCUAGAGCUUGCUUUGGUCUUUUCAUUUGUCAAAAGGAAUGUUUCUUUUUGGUUUUUGUUGUCAAAAGAUUUUUUGGUCUUGGUUUUUUGUGCCGAGAUUUGUUUUCUUGGUUUGAUUUGUUGGGAUUUGAUUGUAUAGAAAGGGUCUGAGUAAAAAAAAAAAUCGUAUCUUUGUUUCUUGAAUGAUCUUAUUCUAUGUUGAAAGAAAAAUAUGGCUUUUAUUCCUUAGGAUAAUAUUUACAUAUUUUUACAAUAUUUACAAGAACUUUGCUGCUUCUUGCUGAUUACUGGUAGUACUUUUUCAGAUUGUUUGCGUGCCAAACUCUGGGUAUUUCUUGUCCAUUUUCCUUUAUUAGUUUUGUUGAAGGUCGUACUAUCAAACAUUAUUUCAUUCCUCCUCUCUUAAUUACAUCGCGUCUGAUGGCUUUUAUAGCCUCUCAAAUAUACCUUGAGGUUACACGUAUGAUUACAAGUGUCACAACGAUAUCAUGCAGUGUUACACGUAGAGUACAACUUGCUGUUUUCCGAUUGGUUGAGGAGGGUUUUUAAUCCCCUACAAUGAGGGUGUAACAAGUUUAAAUGUUCCUGCUUUCCAUUCCUCUUUGAUUAUGUAAGGGUCUUCCUAGUUUUGAGAUAACUUGCUUUUGUUUUGCUUUGCUAGAGUUAGACGAGCGUUUCUGAGAACCAGGUCUCCUAGUGAUAAGUUGGCGUUUCUUAGCCUUUUGUUAUACAUUCUUUCAAUUUUUCUUUUAUAUGCAGCUUCAAAGAUUUCUGCUUGUUCUCUGAUGUCAACGAUGAGGUCUAUAUUUUCUGCUAAUUUUUCUUCAUUAGUUUCUUCGUUGUAACCGAUUAUUCUUGCGGAUGGCCAGACUAAUUCGCAUGGGCCGACUGUUUCUAGGCCAAAAGCUAAACUGAAAGGGGUGUAUCCGUUUGCUGUUUUUAUGGUUGUUCUAUAUGCCCAAAGUACCUCAGGUAUUAAGUCUACCCAUUCUUUGGGAUUGACGUUGAUUUUUCUUUUUAGAAUUUUAAUCAAAUUUUUAUUCGUUGCUUCGACCGGACCGUUAGUUUGUGAGUGAUAUACUGAGCUGAAACUUAGUUUAAUUUCAUUGUCUUUGCAGAACUUUUUUAAUCCUCCGCUUGCGAACUGUGUUCCGUUAUCGGUGAUAAUUUGUAACGGUACUCCGAAUACUAUAUUUCUAAAUAUGAAUUUUACUGCACUUUCCUGUGUGAUUGACUUUACUGGUUCUACUUUUGCCCACUUUGUGAAAUAGUCUAUAUCUACAAAUAAAAAUUUUUUGCCAUAGGAUGCUACUGGGAAAGGUCCUACGAUAUCGACUCCUCAUCUGGCGAAGAGUACCGGGGUUGUGAUGCUAGUUAGUUCAGUGCAUGAUAUUUUUGAGAUAUUAGCGUGUAGUUGACAUUCUCUGCAAUUUUUGGCUAUCUCCUUUGUAUCCCAUUCCAUUUGUGGCCAAAAAUAUCCUUGUAUUUGAACUUGUAACCACAAUUUCCUACCACCUUGGUGGGCUCCAUUUGCUCCAUUGUGAAUGCUUGAUGUAAUUUCUUUACCUUUUUCGCGUGAGACACAUAUUUUGUAUG